GUGUUUAGUUGUUUAUAUAACUAAAAGGUCAUUAAGUAAUUAUGGAGGGUAGUUUUUGAAAAUUCAAUUAGUAUAAAUAAGAGCCUUGGGCUCUCAUAUUUCUUGCACCAUUCUCUUGAUUCAAGAGUCUUUCUCUCCUUAUCCCCCGAGCAUUUCGGUCCCUCGUGAUUCGACUUCUCUUUCUGUAGCUUAGUAUAGUAAGGUGAGCGCUGAAGCGCUGCACGAAUCUUUCUUAGAAAGAUUCAGCGACGAAGUUCUGCCCCUGCAGAGCCCGACUCCUAGCUAAAACCCCCUUGUAAGUUUCGUCGAAGGAAAAUAGAAUCGUUAAAAGCAAGCGCUGCCCGAUUUUGGAAUCAUCACCUUAACAAGUAGUGGCGCAUGAGCAUAGGUGUGAUGUUUUGGACGAGGGAUUACGGAUAUAGGCCUGUAGAUAUGAAAUAAUGUAGUAAGGCUUAUAUUGUACUGUUUAUGCUUUUGAUCUGUACGAACAUGACAUCCCGAGUCUUUUAAUGAAAUACAUUUCUAUGGAAAUGCUUUUGAUAAAUCUUUAUCAUAUUUUUGUUUUGGGACAAAUUCCGCAACACUUUCAUUUAAAAUGUAACUCUGAUUUUUAAACAAAGCAUAAACAAACCGGUCUUUUCUGGCCGUGAUUUUGGGGAUGUCACAGAUAAAUUAGGUCUGUAGAAUAUCAUUUUCUUUCUUUCCGUCUGUUAGCCAUAUGUUGUCUCCUUUGCGUGACUUCCAAUCCGACCCGGUAUACAACAUAUGCAACUACUCUGCAUGCUAUAUAUGUGAAAUACUUCUUAUCUGUUAGCCAUAUGUUGUCUCCUUUGCGUGACUUCUAAUCCGACCUGGUACACAGCAUAUGCAACCUUCUUCUUCUCAACCCCUCUGAAGUAAUAAGUUAUAGAAUUCUGAAUCUAUCCUCUCUCUGAAUGGUUGUCUGCUCACCCGGUGUAAGGAGUACUCUGGAAGUUCUUGAUGGCUGGGGCAUAUCAGGAAGCGGGAAACAUGUUCUAGUACACUUAAAAAUUGAACACAUACAGAUUGUCUGUAGAUCUCGCUGCUCGAUUUAGGUGGACAAUAAUAUCCCUGGUUGUAGUUAGUUAAAUGGUCUUAAGAAAAAGAUAUUUAAGAAUUAGGGCCAAUCAUGAUAAUAAAGUUACUAUUAGAUAUAUGUAUAUGUCAUGUCAUUGGUAAACUGUCCAAAUCUGUCACAAAUUUUUCGUGUUUAAGUGGACAACAAUACCGGCGAUCGACCAGACAAAGACGUGAAGAUAGAAGGUACCGACAACUGGAUAAAGGUUGUCUAAAAACUUUGAUCCCAAAUCAUUCUUAAAGUUAGAUAUCAUUUUAUUUUUGUUAAGUUUGUUCAUAGUGUUCUUCUAAUUUAAAUAUUAGGGGAGAAUUAAAAAUUUUAAAAACCAAACAAAAAUCAGAAAAUUAAAAAAAAAGGGUUUUAUUUCUUGUUCAGAAAAAUCAAAAAAAAAUCCAAAAAUAUUUUUGUUUCUGUUUUAAUUUGUGUGCUAAGUUUUCUUUUAGUUUUGUUUUGUCUUGAAAAGUGAUUUCAGGGGUAGAUGAGACUCAUGGAGUUUGUGUUGAAGAUUUAUGAGCCAAGGCUUCGUCCGUGAGCAUCGAAGAAUUCUCAUUCAAAGGAGCAAGAAAUGAAGAUCAUUCUUUCAACAUUCAAUCCUUCAACCCCAGAAGCAAGGUGAAGCUGAAAGUGAAGAAUAUGUGACGGAUUGCAUUGAAGCCUCCUCAAUCAGUCUGCUGCUAUCUAUGAACCUACUGAAGUGAUCCAAAAGAUUUGUUCUCUCUGAUGUUCUCUCUGAAGAUUCUCAAGCUGAAAGCGCCAAUUUUCAAGAAUCAGUACAAGAAGCCUCCUUACCCGACGUGCAUUCAAAGCCAAAUUUUGAAGAAAAACCCAACCGCUCAAGAUGAAGUCAUUCAUUGAAGAUAAAUGCUGAAGCCAAGCUCUCGAUGAAGAUUAACAAGAAAAGCCAGAUACUUUUUAGGGGGAGCUUGUUGGGUCAUUUAAGAAGAGAAAAGAAAGCUAUAAACCAAGGGGGAGAUUGUUGGUUCAAUAUUAUGGUUUAUGCUUUGCUUUUCUAGGAAAUUGUAUUUUUAUGUAAUAUCUUAUGUUUUUACGGUCAAGUUUACGGCCAGGGAGGUGUUUACGGCCGUAAACCCUGUUUACGACCCAUGUCCACCGACCCAUAUUCUUGUGUAUAUAUAUAGGGGUGAGGGGUGUGAGGAAAAGAUUGAUGAACACGAAGAGAGCUUACGACCGAAGAGAAGAGAGAAACUAGAGAGCAUUGUGUGUGUGAAUCUCUUGUA
Molecule: non-coding RNA, 2337 nt
Organism: Lactuca sativa (garden lettuce)
Lineage: Eukaryota; Viridiplantae; Streptophyta; Magnoliopsida; Asterales; Asteraceae
Source: RefSeq, a predicted model, not a curated record